GUCCCCAGUGUCCCCAGUGCCACCGCUGUCCCGUGUGUGCGAGCAGGAGCGGAGCAGCCCCUGCGUGUGCCGAGAGAUCACUGCAUAUUGUGAAACCUUCCUGACACACAAAGGCUUUGGAAGCUGAGUGCCCUGAGGGCUGCUGGCUCAGAGCAGGGCUCGCCAAGGGGCCUUCUGUGAAAUCCCUUCUUCACUCAGGGAGAGAAAUAUUUGUCCAUCUGAUGGUACACCUGAAACAAAGUUACACGAUCUGUUGAUAUUUCUUAGUGCAGGGAUUAUGGUAUAGAAGCUUUCAAAUGUCACUCAGAAGCUGGGUGUUACUGCUGUGGCAACAUCAAAGAGUGAUAUUACAGAAGUAAAGACUGAGGAUAAAUUAUAUUGGCUAGAAUGGAUUUAUUUGUUCCCUGUGUGUAAAAUGUACCUUCUGUGCUCACAGGCUCACAAACAUGUGUCAUGGUACGUGAUUUAAUGUUGAAGAGCAUUUUCCAGCUACUUGUCUUGUGCAUUACUGAAAUGUAAAAGGUCACACAACUGCCUGCUCCCCUCCUCACCAAGCCCUAAACUAUCUGCUCAGGUUGACAGAGUGUCGAAACAGCUUUCCAGUGACUGUCACACUCUUCAGCUUGCCCGAAGGUGUCCUGACUUGUUAGGAGAGACAAGCAGGAGGAAUGGAAGAAGAACAAGCCCAGGGAUCUGAAGCCUCAGCCAUGACUGCUGAACUCAACACAAAGCCACUGACUGAAGGGAAAAGAGACUCAGACAAAGAAUCUAUGUUAAAAGUGAUCAAAAAUUCUGAUGGACAGUUUAACCUUGAGGCUGCAAUUAAAAAUGUUGAUACAAUGGCCAAUGAACUGAAGAAAAUAAAUGUGGAAAGCCAGCUACUGCUUUGUGACCUGAUUUUGAAUUUCAACCAUCCUGUGAAGGCCAAAGAUUUAAGAGAAGCUGAAGAAAAGACUUGGAGUUUGACAGAUUAAGUAACAUCCAUUUUUAUGCAUUGUCUUCUAUUAAUGCUGAUGAAACUACUGCUUUUUCUUCUUUCUUCUUCAUCUUUCUUUUAAUUAAGUUUGGACUGUUCAAUGAUAGCAUGGUUUCCUGCAGUUAGACUAUUUUUAUUUUAAGCUAAACAUGUGGAAUGGAAAAAAAGAGUAGGUUAUUGGUUCUGAGAGGGGUUUUUCAACCCACAUUUCCCAAAUUAAGCCCACUAGGACUGGAAAGACUGAUGUAAUUAAUUAAAAAGGUCAGGACACUGGGCAUGAAUUUCUUCACGUGGUUUUCUCCUUUUAAACAAAGACAUGUUGGAAUAGUAACAAAAGAUUUGAAAUUUGCUUCAAGUCACUGCUCUCUUAUCUCAGUUGUGCUCAGAGAAACAGAAAGAAAGAAAGAAACUGUCAGUGAAGGAGGAACUGCAACUUGUGUUUUGAGCUGCCUUCCUCAUCUUAAAAAUAUUGCUGAGGAAGGGGUCAAGGAGCAGAUUAUUUCUGGAAAACUAAAAGUACUUUCCAUUCUAGUUUCUGUAAUGACUCUCUAAUGCAACUAGCUACAAAAAUAGGGGGGAGUUUGUGGUUUCAAUGCUCUAUCCUGAAAUCUUCUUGGCCCAACAUUUGCACAGCAACUGCUUUCACGUAGUUCAUUGCAAUUAAUAUUCAAUCACACUUUAUUUGUGGACAUGUUUGAAUGUUGAGAUGUAUUUUUAUUCUUACACUAAAUAUCUUUCUCUGACUAAUCAAAUAGAGAUUUAUUCUACUUUAAAAAAUAUGCAGUGUUAGAAUUUGUUAUGCUGGUUUAUAUUUUCUUUCUCCUUCACUGGUGAGGUGGUUUAAAAUUAAUAAAAUGCAAUUCCAUAGGAGGUGUUUCUAGGUUGUCAGAUUGUUCAAGGCAGGGCAGUGGAGCAUAAUUACAGUUCACAAGAGUCAGUGGUGAUAUGGGGGAUGUUGUUCUUAAUUUUAACGGUUUUUGAAAAAGACAGAUUUGAAGUGACUUUUUGUUCAUCAGAUUAGGAGACAACUUUUAAAAAUAUUGGGCUAGAAGCCGCUUUUGUCACCUGAAGAAUUUUUUUAAUUUUAUUUUUCAUCUCUUUUUUGAACUCCUAGUUGCAUGGAAAUGAACUUUGCUAACUUUGAAUUCCAGCUCUUACCCAAACAUCUUAGAAAGUAACAUCUACAAAACAUAUCUCUAUAAGAAUAACUGUUUAUGAAAUCUGAUUAUGUUAUCUGGGAAGCUUUACCGAUUAUAUGAAAGUUAUUUUCUACCUUGAA
Cyanistes caeruleus (blue tit) is the source of this 2255-nucleotide non-coding RNA. The record is from RefSeq and is a predicted model, not a curated record. NCBI's taxonomy places the organism in Eukaryota, Metazoa, Chordata, Aves, Passeriformes, Paridae.